UGGGGGAUAUUGGACAAUGGGGGGAACCCUGAUCCAGCGACGCCGCGUGAGUGAAGAAGUAUUUCGGUAUGUAAAGCUCUAUCAGCAGGGAAGAAAGAAAUGACGGUACCUGAGUAAGAAGCCCCGGCUAACUACGUGCCAGCAGCCGCGGUAAUACGUAGGGGGCAAGCGUUAUCCGGAAUUACUGGGUGUAAAGGGAGCGUAGACGGUAAAGCAAGUCUGGAGUGAAAAGGCUGGGGGCCCAACCCCGGGCAGCUGCUCUGGAAACUGAUUAAAUACUGGAGUGCAGGAGAGGCAGGCGGAAUUCCUAGUGUAGCGGUGAAAAUGCGUAGAUAUUAGGAGGAACACCAGUGGCGAAGGCGGCCUGCUGGACUGUAACUGACGUUGAGGCUCGAAAAGCGUGGGGAGCAAAACAGGAUUAGAUACC
Molecule: ribosomal RNA, 427 nt
Filed under: uncultured bacterium
Lineage: Bacteria
Description: bacterial SSU rRNA
Rfam family: Bacterial small subunit ribosomal RNA
Source: RNAcentral